UACGUAGGGGGCAAGCGUUGUCCGGAUUUAUUGGGCGUAAAGAGCGUGUAGGCGGCCAUACAGGUCCGUUGUGAAAACUGGAGGCUUAACCUCCAGACGUCGAUGGAAACCGUAUGGCUAGAGUCCGGAAGAGGAGAGUGGAAUUCCUGGUGUAGCGGUGAAAUGCGCAGAUAUCAGGAAGAACACCCGUGGCGAAGGCGGCUCUCUGGGCCUUACCUGACACUGAGGAGCGAAAGCGUGGGGAGCGAACAGG
Molecule: ribosomal RNA, 253 nt
Filed under: uncultured bacterium
Lineage: Bacteria
Description: partial 16S ribosomal RNA
Rfam family: Bacterial small subunit ribosomal RNA
Source: RNAcentral